Molecule: long non-coding RNA, 1192 nt
Organism: Piliocolobus tephrosceles (Ugandan red Colobus)
Lineage: Eukaryota; Metazoa; Chordata; Mammalia; Primates; Cercopithecidae
Exons: 2
Source: RefSeq, a predicted model, not a curated record
GAGCCUCCUGCAAAAGUUUGCCGGCUUCCGCGGUGAUGGAUCACCGUUUCAGUGGCAUUUAAAUCCCCGGCGCUCCGCCGUCUAGGUGACGCGCAGUCGCCCCCCCAGGCAGCCCAGGCGGCGGCAGCUGCUGCGGCGACUGCAACGGCAGAUUUGAAGUGCUGGAGCGAAGAAGAGCAAAGGCUGCCUUCUGCGCGCGCCCGACUCCACUGCCCGCCCCGCCAGGCCUCCGGGAGGUGGGGGCUGGGAGGCGUCCCCCGCUCCCGCCCCCUCCCCACUGUGCACUGAAAGAUGAACUGGCGAGAGGUCUGUUUUGCCUGAACCCAUCAAGAGCUGGGAGAUUAAUCAACCACACUGAAAAUGUGGAGAGAUUUAUGGGGGAGGGGGUUGAAAUGUGGAUGUUUGAAACAAAAGUGUAUAAAUAAAUGAAUUGUUGAUAACUUAGUUAUUGACCUGGAGACUCGUAGCUUAUUAAAGAAACUCCAUGUUACUCAUUCCUGGAGUUGGAGGUUUCUGUAGGCACUUUAUUUCUCCACUUUCAAGAGCUUGGGCUUGGCCCAAAUCUUAGACUGCCCAAUUCUGUCUCUAUUACCAAUUUAAAUCUAUGGCUUGAACCUGUGCACUGAAAAUCAAAUCUAUUCCCUUUAAAAAGAAGGAGAAGAAGCAAAAAAGCAAAAACAAACAAACAACAACAACAACAAAAAAAACACUUAUUAGAAGCCCUAGUCAUUUUUUGGCUUUCUGUUUUGUUGCUGUCCAUUGAAGACUUUGAACAUGCCGCCUUAAUAAAUGUAUUAAAAUUGAAAAAGAGGAUAAAUUGUGACUAGAAUUUUAUUUACCAAGUUAGACUAAAAGAAGAAAAAGAAACUGUUAUGAGCCUUGAAAAAGGGGAGAAAAAUAAGAAAGCUAUUUAUAGCAAAGGAGAAUUUAUUCUACAAAAAAUAUGCAUGACAAUGCAUCGUAAUGUAAUACAAAAAUAAAAAGAAAGUGAAGAUACAAUUAGAUGAUCACUUUCUUGCAGGUCUCAUAUUGCUCUCAGGAAAUCACAUAAAGGGUGGUUGAGUUAGGUUUAAAACAACUAAAACUCCAAAAUAAUCUGUAAAAGAUUUCUCUGUUUGCAACUGGGUCAGGGAAUCACUAAACAGAAAAUCCUCCACAUUUAAAGGAGGGAAGGGGUAGGUCAAGAAGAAAA